Molecule: ribosomal RNA, 429 nt
Filed under: Bacteroidota bacterium
Lineage: Bacteria; Pseudomonadati; Bacteroidota
Description: Bacteroidetes bacterium partial 16S ribosomal RNA
Rfam family: Bacterial small subunit ribosomal RNA
Source: RNAcentral
UAGGGAAUCUUCCGCAAUGGACGCAAGUCUGACGGAGCAACGCCGCGUGAGUGAAGAAGGAUUUCGGUUCGUAAAACUCUGUUGUUAGAGAAGAACAGCGCAUAGAGUAACUGUUAUGCGUGUGACGGUAUCUAACCAGAAAGCCACGGCUAACUACGUGCCAGCAGCCGCGGUAAUACGUAGGUGGCAAGCGUUGUCCGGAUUUAUUGGGCGUAAAGCGAGCGCAGGCGGUCAAUUAAGUCUGAUGUGAAAGCCCCCGGCUCAACCGGGGAGGGUCAUUGGAAACUGGUUGACUUGAGUGCAGAAGAGGAGAGGGGAAUUCCAUGUGGAGCGGUGAAAUGCGUAGAUAUAUGGAGGAACACCAGUGGCGAAGGCGACUCUCUGGUCUGUAACUGACGCUGAGGCUCGAAAGCGUGGGUAGCAAACAGG